CUAGAAGCCACUGAAUCCAAUCAUGAAAUUAUGUGUACCAUUUCAGUCUUAGAAAGUGGAGUUGGUCGCUAUACGCAAGACAGACACUGGGGCUGGACUCACCAUCAGUGGCCCAGAAAAGGUACUGAAAUUUGCUUACAAGUGCAGAGUUAUGCUGAACUUAAGGGUAUAGAUGUAGAUUCCCUGGUUAUUGAGCACAUCCAGGGAACAAGGCACCCAUAAUGUACCACCUGACUUACAGAACUCAUGGGCAGAUGAACCCAUCCACAAACUCCCCUGCCACAUCCAGAUGAUGCUUAGUGAAAAGAAACACCUUGUUCCAAAAGCAGAAAAGGAGGCUGCACGGAAGAAAAAGAUACCCCAGAAGAAACAUAAACUUAAGAGACAAAUAAAUUCAGCCAAAAGAAAAUGCAAAUAAAAGUUCAAAACAAAACAAAAAAAACCUCUAAAAUUCAUAAAACACAAAAUGACAAACUCUAUUAAAUAUGCCUCUAUGAUAUCUCUUAGAUAAAAGUUGGCCGUAAUAGAGAAAAUGAAGAUAGGUGUUGGUGACUGGCAGAUUCUGGGUCUACGAUGAAUCAGAG
RNAcentral lists this long non-coding RNA (584 nucleotides) under Pan troglodytes (chimpanzee). RNAcentral's name for it is "long non-coding RNA NONPTRT008372". Lineage: Eukaryota; Metazoa; Chordata; Mammalia; Primates; Hominidae. The record is from RNAcentral.